This 256-nucleotide unclassified non-coding RNA is filed under the name Basidiomycota sp. Its description in RNAcentral is "partial contains small subunit ribosomal RNA, internal transcribed spacer 1, and 5.8S ribosomal RNA". The stretch from base 1 to 47 matches the Rfam family "Eukaryotic small subunit ribosomal RNA", at positions 1785 to 1831 of the family's 1831-position model. The record is from RNAcentral. Lineage: Eukaryota; Fungi; Basidiomycota.
AAAGUCGUAACAAGGUUUCCGUAGGUGAACCUGCGGAAGGAUCAUUACAAAUCCAACGUCUCCUCCGAGACACCGUUGAAACAUGUUGUUGUAGUGCCGUGGUUGGUGGACCGCGGAGGGGGCUGCGCCUCGCGCGCCGUCCUCUCCUCUCCGGUCUGCCGACAACACGCGCUGCUCACACUCACUAGAAACUGUUGAUCAUAUGUAUGCUUCUUUAACAAAGAAACAACUUAUACCAAUGGAUCUCUAGGCUCUU